UACAGAGGUCUCAAGCGUUGUUCGGAUUCAUUGGGCGUAAAGGGUGCGUAGGUGGUGCCGUAAGUCGGAUGUGAAAUCUCGGGGCUCAACCCCGAAACUGCAUUCGAUACUGCGGUGCUCGAGGACUGGAGAGGAGACUGGAAUUCACGGUGUAGCAGUGAAAUGCGUAGAUAUCGUGAGGAAGACCAGUGGCGAAGGCGGGUCUCUGGACCGUAACUGACGCUGAGGAGCGAAAGCGUGGGGAGCGAACAGG
RNAcentral lists this ribosomal RNA (253 nucleotides) under uncultured bacterium. RNAcentral describes it as "partial 16S ribosomal RNA". It matches the Rfam family "Bacterial small subunit ribosomal RNA", at positions 524 to 776 of the family's 1533-position model. The record is from RNAcentral.